Molecule: ribosomal RNA, 460 nt
Filed under: uncultured bacterium
Lineage: Bacteria
Description: partial 16S ribosomal RNA
Rfam family: Bacterial small subunit ribosomal RNA
Source: RNAcentral
CCUACGGGAGGCUGCAGUGAGGAAUAUUGGUCAAUGGACGCAAGUCUGAACCAGCCAUGCCGCGUGCAGGAAGACGGCUCUAUGAGUUGUAAACUGCUUUUGUACGAGGGUAAACGCAGAUACGCGUAUCUGUCUGAAAGUAUCGUACGAAUAAGGAUCGGCUAACUCCGUGCCAGCAGCCGCGGUAAUACGGAGGAUUCAAGCGUUAUCCGGAUUUAUUGGGUUUAAAGGGUGCGUAGGCGGUCGGAUAAGUUAGCGGUGAAAUCCCGAGGCUCAAAUUCGGAAUUGCCUCUGAUACUGUUCGGCUAGAGAGUAGUUGCGGUAGGCGGAAUGUAUGGUGUAGCGGUGAAAUGCUUAGAGAUCAUACAGAACACCGAUUGCGAAGGCAGCUUACCAAGCUACUUCUGACGUUGAGGCACGAAAGCGUGGGGAGCGAACAGGAUUAGAUACCCGGGUAGUC